ACUCAAGUGGACGGGUGGGGAGCCUGCGGCUGGCCACCUCCGCACCCUCGGAGCGCUCCAGGGGGCCCCAACCCAAGCCCUGCACCUACUCUUGAAGGCGACGGCCGCGUUGUUGACCAGUACGUUGAGCCCCCCGUACUCCUUGCGCAGGAAGUCGCGCAGGGCGCGGAUGCUCUGCAAGUCGUCGAUGUCCAGUUGGUGGAAGCGCGGGCUCAGGCCCUCCGCCUGCAGCUGCUGCACGGCCGCCUGGCCCCGCGCCACGUCCCGCGCGGUGAGCACCACAUCCCCAGAGAACUGUCGGCACAGUUCGCGCGCGAUGGCCAAGCCGAUGCCCCUGUUGGCCCCGGUCACCAGCGCCACGCGGCUGCAGGACGACAUGGCUGAGCGGGGAGCGCGGGGCACCUGCGUGGAGGGCGGACCGGGCUUCGGACCACCUGGGGCGCGCCCCGAGGAGCCCAGCUAGUGUCAAUGCCGCCGCGCAGACUAAGUUCUGGGAUCCAGUGCUGCGAGUCUUAAAGAAAAAGGCCCCGGCUCCGGUCCCUCCCCUCCGAGGAGGGGCCGUCUGUGCCCUCUGUUCCAACUCCCGGGCCCGCCCCCUGCCCACGCUGCGCCCUUCAGGAUCCGGGCUCUGAGCCGCGGGGUGAUCUGCGAGGUGUCCGAAGCCAAAUCGGACCUUGAUGGGUCAGUCGGGGGCUCCAGAUUCUUGGCAACUGGACUGAAGAAAUUAUUUUGGGAAAACCCCAAAGUGAGAAAAACAAGUGCUGAGUAAUUUUCUUGGGUGUGCGCCCAUCAUGCACUGCAAAAUGCGAAUGUUUGCUUUUUCCUAAGAUGCAGUGACUUACUUAGACACAGUAACUGCUUCUCUGGACAUAGGUUGCCUUGCUUGCUUAAAAGGAACUCAAGAGAGGGAACUAGAUGCCCUGUGAGCGCACUUAGCAGGUGUGGGCAGGCGACAUCGCUCUGGGAUUCCCAGUGAAUGUGCCCCCAAGUGGGAGGGAAUGUUUUUAUUUAAUCCUACCUAACUCCUACGGGUGCUAAAAGUGUCUGCAUUUAGGUUUGUCCAGGGAGGAUAUAGAUCUAUAAAGAUCUGGAUUGAUCAUAUGUUCUCACAGAUCUGUGUACCGGCAAAGAAAGUUAAACCAAAUUCCCAAAGGUGUGUCAAGCUGUGGGCACAAAAUUAGAGUCUCAUCCAUCGUCUUCAGUGUAAACUGAGUUGUUUGAUCAGUGACUUUGAGAUUUGGGGAGAACCAUGACAUCAUCACGACUCAGCCUUUUCCAUGCAGAGCUGGCUAACCCGCCUGUGUCUCUGUUACUCUGACUCUACCUUCUCUCUCAAGUCCUUACUUGAGGUUCCGGAGGUGGGCCCCUGCUGUGAUCUCCUACUGUGCCUCCCCCAGUAUUUCCUUCUUUUUUCUCCUAAAGAUCAUUUGGUCCGGGCGCGGUGGCUCACACCUGUAAUCCCAGCACUUUGGGAGGCUGAGGCGGGUGGAUUACGCGGUCAGGAGUUCAAGACCAGCCUGACCAACAUGGUGAAACCCCCAUCUCUACUAAAAAUACAAAAAUUACCUGGGUGUGGUGGCACGUGCCUGUAAUCCCAGCUACUUAGGAGGCUGAGGCAGGAGAACUGCUUGAACCCGGGAGGCGGAGGUUGCAGUAAACCGAGAUUGCACCACUGCACUCCAACCUGUGCAACAGAGUGAGACUUUUCAAAAAAAAAAAAAAAGAUCAUUUGGAACCUUGUUUUAAGGAUAUGGGGCUAUUUAGGC
Molecule: long non-coding RNA, 1766 nt
Filed under: Homo sapiens (human)
Lineage: Eukaryota; Metazoa; Chordata; Mammalia; Primates; Hominidae
Description: non-protein coding CBR3-AS1:46
Source: RNAcentral